This 468-nucleotide unclassified non-coding RNA is filed under the name Hevea brasiliensis (rubber tree). Lineage: Eukaryota; Viridiplantae; Streptophyta; Magnoliopsida; Malpighiales; Euphorbiaceae. The record is from RNAcentral.
CAACCAUAGUGCACCAACGCAGCUUACUUUUGGAGUUUUAAGAUGGCGCCUCUCUCUGUUUUACUAUUCUUUCUUUUCUCUCAUCUUCCGUUUCUUUACUCUGCUGAAACAUCGAAAUACCCCUCUCCUUGUCCAAACUUCAAAUGUGGAAAAUUGGGCGAUAUUAGGUUUCCUUUCACUCCAGCAACGAACCCGGCCUGUGGGCUGUUGAAAGUAAAUUGUAGCGACCACAAGAUCCAACUGCAGAGGCGAGGAAUAUGGUAUAAAGUUGAGAACAUCUCUGAGGCUGACACCAUUUCUAUCAGUGAUUCAGAACUUCAGAAUCAUUUGGAUAAAGAACGAUGUGAUUUCUUUGAGGAAUUCUCUACUCCCCGCUCUAGAAUGGUCUCUUUCCAAUUUGUACCUAAUAUUACCUUGUUCAAAUGCAACCGCAGCUUCAACAGCACUCACGGCUCUGGUUUUAGUUAU